AUGAACGCUGGCGGCGUGCCUGAUACAUGCAAGUCGAGCGAACAGACGAGGAGCUUGCUCCUCUGACGUUAGCGGCGGACGGGUGAGUAACACGUGGAUAACCUACCUAUAAGACUGGGAUAACUUCGGGAAACCGGAGCUAAUACCGGAUAAUAUAUUGAACCGCAUGGUUCAAUAGUGAAAGACGGUUUUGCUGUCACUUAUAGAUGGAUCCGCGCCGCAUUAGCUAGUUGGUAAGGUAACGGCUUACCAAGGCAACGAUGCGUAGCCGACCUGAGAGGGUGAUCGGCCACACUGGAACUGAGACACGGUCCAGACUCCUACGGGAGGCAGCAGUAGGGAAUCUUCCGCAAUGGGCGAAAGCCUGACGGAGCAACGCCGCGUGAGUGAUGAAGGUCUUCGGAUCGUAAAACUCUGUUAUUAGGGAAGAACAAAUGUGUAAGUAACUAUGCACGUCUUGACGGUACCUAAUCAGAAAGCCACGGCUAACUACGUG
Molecule: ribosomal RNA, 496 nt
Filed under: uncultured bacterium
Lineage: Bacteria
Description: partial 16S ribosomal RNA
Rfam family: Bacterial small subunit ribosomal RNA
Source: RNAcentral